ACUUUACAAUGCGGGAAACCGUGAUAAGGGAACCCCGAGUGCCCGUAAAUUCGGGCUGUCCAUCAGCGUAAAUAACUGGUGAAGAAAGGGCCGGGCAAGACCGGUGCCAGCCGCCGCGGUAAUACCGGCGGCUCGAGUGGUGGCCACUACUAUUGGGCUUAAAGCGUCCGUAGCUUGGUUGUUAAGUCUCUUGGGAAAUCUACCGGCUCAACCGGUAGGCGUUCAGGAGAUACUGGCAAUCUAGGGACCGGGAGAGGUGAGAGGUACUCCAGGGGUAGGAGUGAAAUCCUGUAAUCCUUGGGGGACCACCUGUGGCGAAGGCGUCUCACUAGAACGGCUCCGACAGUGAGGGACGAAAGCUGGGGGAGCAAACCGG
This 376-nucleotide ribosomal RNA is filed under the name uncultured archaeon. RNAcentral describes it as "bacterial SSU rRNA". It matches the Rfam family "Archaeal small subunit ribosomal RNA", at positions 347 to 727 of the family's 1478-position model. The record is from RNAcentral.